This 240-nucleotide ribosomal RNA is filed under the name uncultured bacterium. Its description in RNAcentral is "partial 16S ribosomal RNA". It matches the Rfam family "Bacterial small subunit ribosomal RNA", at positions 537 to 776 of the family's 1533-position model. The record is from RNAcentral.
AGCGUUGCUCGGAAUCACUGGGCGUAAAGCGCACGUAGGCGGAUUGCUAAGUCAGGGGUGAAAUCCUGGAGCUCAACUCCAGAACUGCCUUUGAUACUGGUGAUCUUGAGUCCGGGAGAGGUGAGUGGAACUGCGAGUGUAGAGGUGAAAUUCGUAGAUAUUCGCAAGAACACCAGUGGCGAAGGCGGCUCACUGGCCCGGUACUGACGCUGAGGUGCGAAAGCGUGGGGAGCAAACAGG